RNAcentral lists this ribosomal RNA (276 nucleotides) under Amanita kitamagotake. RNAcentral's name for it is "partial 28S ribosomal RNA". It matches the Rfam family "Eukaryotic large subunit ribosomal RNA", at positions 1 to 267 of the family's 3401-position model. The record is from RNAcentral. Lineage: Eukaryota; Fungi; Basidiomycota; Agaricomycetes; Agaricales; Amanitaceae.
UUGACCUCAAAUCAAGCAAGACUACCCGCUGAACUUAAGCAUAUCAAUAAGCGGAGGAAAAGAAACUAACAAGGAUUCCCCUAGUAACUGCGAGUGAAGCGGGAAAAGCUCAAAUUUAAAAUCUGACAGUGGUUUCACUGUCCGAAUUGUAAUCUAGAGAAGUGUUGCUCACACUGGACCAUGUAUAAGUCUUCUGGAAUGAAGCGUCAUAGAGGGUGAGAAUCCCGUCUUUGACAUGGACUGCCAGUGUAUUUGUAGCAUGCUCUCAAAGAGUCG